Molecule: long non-coding RNA, 112 nt
Organism: Thalassophryne amazonica
Lineage: Eukaryota; Metazoa; Chordata; Actinopteri; Batrachoidiformes; Batrachoididae
Exons: 3
Source: RefSeq, a predicted model, not a curated record
AAUAAAUUUUGCCACCAUGUCAAUCAAGAACUUUAGGUUAUGCUUGUUUUUGUUCAUCAGAUCAGAGUAAUAGUCCCGCUUUGUAGCAAAUAAUCCAUGGUUAUAGGCCAAU